This 497-nucleotide ribosomal RNA is filed under the name uncultured bacterium. Its description in RNAcentral is "partial 16S ribosomal RNA". It matches the Rfam family "Bacterial small subunit ribosomal RNA", at positions 28 to 507 of the family's 1533-position model. The record is from RNAcentral.
GAUGAACGCUGGCGGCGUGCCUAAUACAUGCGAGUCGAGCGAACAGACGAGGAGCUUGCUCCUCUGACGUUAGCGGCGGACGGGUGAGUAACACGUGGAUAACCUACCUAUAAGACUGGGAUAACUUCGGGAAACCGGAGCUAAUACCGGAUAAUAUAUUGAACCGCAUGGUUCAAUAGUGAAAGACGGUUUUGCUGUCACUUAUAGAUGGAUCCGCGCCGCAUUAGCUAGUUGGUAAGGUAACGGCUUACCAAGGCGACGAUGCGUAGCCGACCUGAGAGGGUGAUCGGCCACACUGGAACUGAGACACGGUCCAGACUCCUACGGGAGGCAGCAGUAGGGAAUCUUCCGCAAUGGGCGAAAGCCUGACGGAGCAACGCCGCGUGAGCGAUGAAGGUCUUCGGAUCGUAAAACUCUGUUAUUAGGGAAGAACAAAUGUGUAAGUAACUAUGCACGUCUUGACGGUACCUAAUCAGAAAGCCACGGCUAACUACGUG